This 253-nucleotide ribosomal RNA is filed under the name uncultured bacterium. Its description in RNAcentral is "partial 16S ribosomal RNA". It matches the Rfam family "Bacterial small subunit ribosomal RNA", at positions 524 to 776 of the family's 1533-position model. The record is from RNAcentral.
UACGUAGGGGGCAAGCGUUGCCCGGAAUCACUGGGCGUAAAGCGCACGUAGGCGGUUUGCUAAGUCAGGGGUGAAAUCCUGGAGCUCAACUCCAGAACUGCCUUUGAUACUGGCGAUCUUGAGUCCGGGAGAGGUGAGUGGAACUGCGAGUGUAGAGGUGAAAUUCGUAGAUAUUCGCAAGAACACCAGUGGCGAAGGCGGCUCGCUGGCCCGGUACUGACGCUCAGGUGCGAAAGCGUGGGGAGCAAACAGG